Molecule: unclassified non-coding RNA, 767 nt
Filed under: Hevea brasiliensis (rubber tree)
Lineage: Eukaryota; Viridiplantae; Streptophyta; Magnoliopsida; Malpighiales; Euphorbiaceae
Source: RNAcentral
ACAGGAACGGGAGGAGGAAGUGGCUUAACUACUGGUGUGGGCUUUGGUGUUGGGUUGUAAACGGGAACUGGAGGAGGAAGUGGCUUUUCUAGCGGUGGGGGACAUGGCUUUUUAAAAAAGGGAGGAAUAGGUGGAAGAGGAAAAGGGUGUCCCAAUGGUGGCAUUGGUGGAAAUGGUGGCAACUUAGGGAACUUCUUCAUCCAAGAAUGAUCUUUUGGGAAAGGUGGCAACUGUGGGUACUUAAAGUAAGGCCACAAGAAAGCAGAAGUGCACAAGGGUGUUGAGAACUUAAGAUUUCCAGCUGUUUUCAAUGUAUUUUUGCCAUCAGUUUUAAUACUAACAAUCUUGGAUGAUUCAAUGCCAUUGUGUGCUGGACAUGGUGCAGAUGAUGCACUAUGUAACUGCGCAUAGCAUUCCUCUUUCAGCUUGCCAUCUUUCAUCAUCUCCUUCGGAAGUGACACUUCAAACUUGCCAUCUUGAUCAAGCUCUCCUUCUCCCCUUGUUUUGAUUUCUCCAUUUGUAAGCUUGCAGUCAAUGCUUACAUGAAGUCCUGAUAGAGCAUGAAUAGUGUUAAUAUUAUUCUCCUUGCAGUCAGCACAUUCUCCAAAACCAACCACCUUAAUUGUGUUGUCAUCAGCAAUGCAGAAAGUAGAGAGUAGUAAAGACAGGGACAGUCCCAGAAGGACUCUGCCACAAAGGGACUGAAGCCCCAUUCUGUUUAUACAAAAUAAAUGUAAGUUUUGAAUGAUAUUCUUGAAUCUGCAGAA